UUGUUUUGCCUUAACAGACUGGGUAGUAAUAUAAUUGCCAUGUCAUGCUGUCGAAACUUUUAUUGAUUUGGUGGGAUAUUGAUUAGUCACUGCUGUGGUGGGUUUUUGUGGACUAGCCUAUUAGAGAGGGGCACGAUAAACCCGAUUAUAUUUUACCUCGGUACGAGAGGCGCGGAGGGUAUCUCUUGAGGAAAAGCUUUAGAGUUCACUACACGCUAAACCACCACGUGAGGGUGAACU
RNAcentral lists this long non-coding RNA (240 nucleotides) under Theobroma cacao (cacao). Its description in RNAcentral is "long non-coding RNA (TCAC_LNC002432)". The record is from RNAcentral. Lineage: Eukaryota; Viridiplantae; Streptophyta; Magnoliopsida; Malvales; Malvaceae.